Molecule: ribosomal RNA, 250 nt
Filed under: uncultured prokaryote
Description: partial 16S ribosomal RNA
Rfam family: Bacterial small subunit ribosomal RNA
Source: RNAcentral
UACGGAAGGUCCUGGCGUUAUCCGGAUUUAUUGGGUUUAAGGGGAGCGUAGGCGGGAUGCUAAGCGUGCUGUGAAAUACCGCGGCUCAACCGUGGGAGUGCAGCGCGAACUGGUUUCCUUGAGUGGGCGGAAGGUACGCGGAAUUCGUGGUGUAGCGGUGAAAUGCUUAGAUAUCACGAGGAACCCCGAUUGCGAAGGCAGCGUGCCGCAGCCUGACUGACGCUGAAGCUCGAAGGUGCGGGUAUCGAAC